This 406-nucleotide ribosomal RNA is filed under the name uncultured bacterium. RNAcentral describes it as "partial 16S ribosomal RNA". It matches the Rfam family "Bacterial small subunit ribosomal RNA", at positions 29 to 526 of the family's 1533-position model. The record is from RNAcentral.
AUUGAACGCUGGCGGCAAGCCUAACACAUGCAAGUCGAACGAGUGGCGGACGGGUGAGUAAUGUCUGGGAAACUGCCUGAUGGAGGGGGAUAACUACUGGAAACGGUAGCUAAUACCGCAUACCAUCGGAUGUGCCCAGAUGGGAUUAGCUAGUAGGGGGGGUAAAGGCUCACCUAGGCGACGAUCCCUAGCUGGUCUGAGAGGAUGACCAGCGAGACGGGAACGGAGUCACGGUCCAGAAUCCGACGGGAGGCAGCAGUGUGGAAUAUUGCACAAUGGGCGCGAGCCUGAUGCAGCCGUGCCGCGUGUAUGAAGAAGGCCUUCGGGUUGUAAAGUACUUUCAGCGGGGAGGCGUUACCCGCAGAAGGAGCACCGGCUAGCUCCGUGCCAGCCGCCGCGGUAAUAG